Non-coding RNA from Ricinus communis (castor bean), 107 nucleotides. The record is from Rfam. NCBI's taxonomy places the organism in Eukaryota, Viridiplantae, Streptophyta, Magnoliopsida, Malpighiales, Euphorbiaceae.
AGUCCAUGGUGCGGGCUACAUCGAAGCAAGUCCUUGUAUCUCUCCCAAGCAUCAUACAUGCUCUCAUCAUCUAACUGCACAAAAGAAGAUAUAUCAUUUCUCAAUCU